RNAcentral lists this long non-coding RNA (445 nucleotides) under Homo sapiens (human). RNAcentral's name for it is "non-protein coding lnc-HLX-2:9". Lineage: Eukaryota; Metazoa; Chordata; Mammalia; Primates; Hominidae. The record is from RNAcentral.
AUGCGGGAAUAAACACACACACACACACACACACACACACACAGUAUUUGACUAAGCAUUAACCAUUCCAGCUAAGAGAUCAGUGUUUGUCAUUCAAAAUAGCUGAGGUGGUUGGGAGAGGACAGCCAGUAUUCCCCAAAAGAGGUUUAUUAGUUUCCUAGGCUGCUGUCACAAAUUGACACAGACUUAGUGACUUAAAACAACAGAAAUGUAUUCGCUUACAGCUUGGGAGACCAGAAAUCCAAGGUGAGUUUCCCUGGGUUAAAGUGAAGGUGUUGGCCCGGCUGGUUCCUUCUGGAGGCUCCGAUGGAGACUGUUCUUUGCUUUUUCAGCCUCUGGUUGCUGCUGGCAUUCCUUCGUUUGUGUUUGUGUCACUACAUUCUCUGCUUCUCUGGCACAUGGACUCUUCUUCUGCAUCCAGUUUUCCUCUGUCUUCCUCUCAUAA